GACUCCUUGUUGUAGCAUGGCGAUGCUAAGAACCUCUUUGCGGAGUUUUCUCUCCUUCCCAACUCGAGCGGCUGCAGUCAGAGCUAGUUCUUGGUGGUCUGGAGUUGAGGUGGGCCCUCCUGAUCCAAUAUUCGGCCUCCUGGAGGCGUACAAUAAAGAUGAGAGGACGAACAAAGUUAAUUUGACUGUGGGGGCGUACAGGGAUGACCAGGGGAAGCCAUAUGUACUGAAUGUAGUCAAACAAAUUGAGAGGGACAAUUUAGAUAAAUACAAAGAGAAGGAGUAUGCUGGUAUCCUGGGGUAUCCUUCCUUCCACAGAGCUGCCAUUGAAUUUGCACUGACACCUCAAGAAAAACACGUCAAAGAGAAUCUGUAUGUGUCAGCUCAAGCCAUUGGUGGUACUGGAGCAUUGAGGAUCAUUGCUUUAUUCCUUGCAAAGUUCUUUCCCCAUCAGAAGACUAUAUAUGUACCAGCACCUACCUGGGGUAAUCAUGCACCAGUGUUCAGGAGUUCUGGUUUGAAUGUUGAGACUUAUCGUCAUUUCAAGCCUGAGACCUGUGGGUUUGACUCUGAAGCUUGCUAUGAAGACCUGAGGAAAAUACCUGAUAACUCUCUUAUCUUGUUUCAUGCUUGCGGUCACAAUCCAACUGGGAUUGAUCCUACGUUAGAUGAAUGGUCCCAGUUAUCAAAGAUAUGUAAGGAGAAGAACCAUUACGUAUUCAUGGAUAUGGCCUAUCAAGGAUUCUCUACUGGUGAUCUUGAUAGAGAUGCAUCAGCUCUUAGGCUGUUUGUACGUGAUGGACACCAACUGUCAUACGCUCAAUCAUUCUCUAAGAACAUGGGACUAUACGGUGAGAGAGUUGGUGCUGUUACUAUAUUGUGUGAUACACCAGAAGAGAAGGCAGCACUUGAGUCACAGCUAAAGAUUAUAGUCCGUCCAAUGUACUCCAACCCACCAAUCAAUGGGGCUAGGAUUGCUACUGAGAUACUCACCAAUGAGAAUUACAGAUCACAAUGGUUGGUUGAAAUGAAGGGUAUGGCUGACCGUAUCACUAGCAUGAGAACAUCACUGAAAGAAGCACUAGCUAAACAUAGUUCAACUCUGGACUGGUCACAUGUCACUAAACAGAUUGGUAUGUUCUGCUUCAGUGGACUCUCAGCUGAAAAGGCUGUUAACAUUUGGCCCACUCUUAGCUGUUCCAGUUUGUGCACAGACUAAACCCAAGUUCAUCCUUUGUACUGAGUUGCUUUUGAGAUUGCUUUCAGUUUAUUAAAUUAUAAUCAAUGGCAGCACUAGUGCCACUGCCACCAGAUGACAGUUCAAGACUUGACUAUUAUGGGGCAUUUUCUCAUGCAAUUGAUGUGAAAGAUCUCAAACCUGGUGACCAUAUUUACUGUCAUAAAAGUCCAUUCUUCUUCUACAGUCAUCAUGGUAUUUAUAUUGGUGAGCCUGACUGUGAGGUGAUUCACUUUAGUGGUACAUCAGACUCCAAGCUUGGGUCACAGUCAUCUUCAGAUUCGUCCUUGGAUGAUGAAACAAGGCAGUUGCUACAAGAGCUUCAAACAUUACCAAAAGAUUCCGAAAGAGCUAAAGAAAUUGAGAAGAAAUUAAAAAUAUGCAUCAAAUCAACUACUCUGGCUGAAUUUCUGAAUGGCUCUACACUUCGCUUAGUCGCAUAUGGCUGCAGUGGAUUCAAGCAUUCUGUUUCAUUGGUUAGUAGUCACUCUGUCAAGGCAAUGCCUCCUUCAGAAACAGUUAAGUUGGCCAAACAUUUCCAUGAUCAUUCAGAAGAGUGGAAUGAGUAUCACCUCUCGUAUAACAAUUGCGAAACAUUUGCAACAUUCUGCAAAACAGGCCGGUUAGAUUUAGCAGCACAGCUUUACCAAAUUGUGAGAAAUGUAGCUUUUGAACGAAAUAUAGGGCCAACAUGUCAGACAGCUGAAGAAGCCUUGAUAAAAUAUCAGGUGGAAGAUGAUUCAGCAAUCAGAGUUGGAGUAACAUCUCAUGCAAUUGAUAAAGAGCGUCUUAAGCCUGGUGAUCAGAUUUAUUGUUAUAGAAACAUCUGCACUCACCAUGGUAUUUAUAUUGGUGAGCCUGAUUGUGAGGUGAUUCACUUUAGUGGUGCAUCACGCAUCAAUUCAACUACUCUGGCUGAAUUUCAGUAUGGCUCUACACUUCGCUUAGUUGCAUAUGGUUACAGUGGAAUCAAGCAUCUAUUUGCCAUUGUUAGUAGUCACUACAUAAAGGCAAUGCCUCCUUCAGAAACAGUUAAGUUAGCAAAACAUUUUCGCGAUCAUGCAGAAGAGUGGGGGGAAUAUCACCUCAAGCAUAACAACAGCGAAAGGUUUGCUUGCUUCUGCAAAACAGGCCUGUUGGAUAUAGCAGCACAGUUUCAUCAGUUUGAGAGAAGCGUGUUUACUGAAAGGCGUAAAGAACCAUGUAAAACAUCUGAAGAAGCACUGGAAAAAUAUCGUGAGAGGAAUUGAACCUUGAUGCUGCUACAAAACUCAAUGCACUGCUGUGUGAACAUUAGUACUUUAGUGUGUGAUCUUUAGUAGCUAUAUUUAGUCAUUUUUUA
This is an RNA transcript of Amphimedon queenslandica, 2579 nucleotides long. It is a transcript of the gene named aspartate aminotransferase, mitochondrial-like, with no coding region annotated. The transcript is spliced from 15 exons. The record is from RefSeq and is a predicted model, not a curated record. NCBI's taxonomy places the organism in Eukaryota, Metazoa, Porifera, Demospongiae, Haplosclerida, Niphatidae.